RNAcentral lists this long non-coding RNA (213 nucleotides) under Lathyrus oleraceus (garden pea). Its description in RNAcentral is "Pisum sativum (pea) long non-coding RNA (PSAT_LNC012735)". The record is from RNAcentral. Lineage: Eukaryota; Viridiplantae; Streptophyta; Magnoliopsida; Fabales; Fabaceae.
GAAAAUGAGAAUCAGUAGGUGCCACAACUCUUGAAAAACCGAGCAAGCAUUGAAAAAAAAAAUUAAUUAGAAAAGAGAAACAUCUGUUUGUGUAUACAAUGUGAAAAGAAAAAGAAAAAAAAUAGGAAAAUGAAAAUGAAUGCUUGCUUGGAAGAAAAAUAAUGAAAAACAAAAUUGAGUUGUGAAAUAAGAGUUGUGAAGGUUUCAAAUGAG